Molecule: transfer RNA, 64 nt
Filed under: Cylindratus longicephalus
Lineage: Eukaryota; Metazoa; Arthropoda; Insecta; Hemiptera; Caliscelidae
Description: tRNA-Thr
Rfam family: tRNA
About the family: Transfer RNA (tRNA) molecules are approximately 80 nucleotides in length. Their secondary structure includes four short double-helical elements and three loops (D, anti-codon, and T loops). Further hydrogen bonds mediate the characteristic L-shaped molecular structure. tRNAs have two regions of fundamental functional importance: the anti-codon, which is responsible for specific mRNA codon recognition, and the 3' end, to which the tRNAs corresponding amino acid is attached (by aminoacyl-tRNA synthetases). tRNAs cope with the degeneracy of the genetic code in two manners: having more than one tRNA (with a specific anti-codon) for a particular amino acid; and 'wobble' base-pairing, i.e. permitting non-standard base-pairing at the 3rd anti-codon position.
Source: RNAcentral
GUUUUUAUAGUUUAAAAAAAACAUUGGUCUUGUAAACCAAAAUUAUUUAAAAUAAUUUAAAACA